GGCAGUUAACCCCCGGGUAGUUGUCCAUCUGUAGGUCGAGGGACUGAAAAGAUGGGAUGCGGCUAAUAUCGGGUUAGGACUGAGGUUAGGGCAAAAGUUAGGGUUAGGACUGAGGUUAAAGCUAAAGUUAGGGUUAGGACUGAGGUAAGGGUUAGGGCUAAAGUUAGGGUUGGGCACGACGGCAGGUACGCAGCCCGACCCCGAGCGAGGGGAUCUCAUCAGCCUGGACCAUCGCCUGGAAUUUGUUGUUAAGGCGACCGCCUUGACAACAAAGAGCCACCGCCUAAACUAAAGUCUUAACAAGCUCUCCGUUUAGUUCUGCCUCUGUCAGUACUUCUCUGCAGCACCCAGCAUUGUCCCACCCACAGAACCAUCUGAUUGGUUACACGCAAAGCGGUAACAGCCAAUCAGCAGUGCGUAUUCAGAGCGCAGGUAACAGUGCUUAGACAGGCAGAGAGGAGAGACACUUCCAAGUCAACUACGAGUAACAUCACAAUGAGCCCGUUGACGUUCUAGAAACAUAAGCGGCAGCUCAGCUCGCUCUCAGUCCUUGAGGUGAAGGCUACUUAGCUUUUAGCGUAACGUUAGCUCACUGUGCUGUGUGUGUCUGUCUGAGAGAAAGACAAGCAUGGUUGACCUACAGUUAACAGCUAAGUUAUUUCACUUUACCUUUUUCUGUGUUGAAGCAGCAAAAAAGGACAUUAUGUUAAAUGAAGAGUUUCUGUCUCUGAUAGUUGAUAUAAUAAUGUAAGUGCAUCAUUAAGCCUACAAGAACUCAAUGGUGUUCAGGGAUGAAUAGUCUCUCCUAUUGCUAUUGUACUAUUUUUUUCAGCUAUAUUUACAUUAAUCAUUAGUAAUGUAGCAGCUUAGUUUUGAAUGGCAGGGUCCCUGCUAUCACGUUGAUAAAAAUAUAACAUUUACAUAAUACAAAUCUACUACAGGCUUCCCAAAUGCUGUAAUAAAUUAAGCAUGAUGAGUUGAACAUGUCAGCAUGUGGCCCCACGCUUACUUACAUUAAGUCAUUAAUUUGACUUUGUAAGCCAUUAUUUGGACUUAGUUAAUUACUAAGUAAUAAUAAUGACGUACUUUGUAUCUCAGGUAACUAGGACUGUUUUGUUUUUACUUUACGGAAAAAAUAUCGAGAUAUAUAUCGUCAGUCAGCAA
Long non-coding RNA from Nerophis lumbriciformis (worm pipefish), 1164 nucleotides. RefSeq lists it as uncharacterized. The record is from RefSeq and is a predicted model, not a curated record. Lineage: Eukaryota; Metazoa; Chordata; Actinopteri; Syngnathiformes; Syngnathidae.